Molecule: ribosomal RNA, 253 nt
Filed under: uncultured bacterium
Lineage: Bacteria
Description: partial 16S ribosomal RNA
Rfam family: Bacterial small subunit ribosomal RNA
Source: RNAcentral
GACAGAGGGUGCAAACGUUGUUCGGAAUUACUGGGCGUAAAGCGAGUGUAGGCGGUUCGGUAAGUCGGAUGUGAAAGCCCCGGGCUCAACCCGGGAAGUGCACUCGAUACUGCCGAGCUAGAGUAUCGGAGAGGUUGGUGGAAUUCUCGGUGUAGAGGUGAAAUUCGUAGAUAUCGGGAGGAACACCAGUGGCGAAGGCGGUUACCUGGAGCUUUGCUGACGCUGAUGCGCGAAAGCGUGGGGAGCGAUCCGG